UUACGUCACUGUUGUUUUUCCGCCGCUAGCUGAAGCUGUCAGUCUGGACCGUCAGUUUGUCCGGACAGUGUUUCCGUCACUCUGUCUGUACCGUGCUCACUAAUCUCAAAGAAAACGGCCGACCUGCAGAUAUGGGGGCUGUCAUAUCCAGAUGGAAGACAAAGCCAACCACAGUUGAAAAACUUGAAAACUUGGAUAAGGAGAUCAAAGACCUCGAGGAAUUCCGAACCAAGAACCAGCGUCUUUUGAAGGUAGGCUCACAGAACAAGAACUUAUCCACAGGGACUUCUACAACUCCACUCUUCUCUAAAGGUACGGCCACACUGAACGCCUUGCGCGCGUUAGAGGCGUAGAAAAUCUCAAUUUUUGCAUAGGGAACCAUUGCUUUAGAUGCGUUACACACGCUAAAAUAAUUUUUGGGCGGGCUCAUCUAGCUGCGUAGGCGUGUUAGGCGUGUUGAACCAUUUUUGUGACACACAAUGAUCAAGCGGCAGGUUAGGCACAUUACCCGCGUAAUCCUACGUGCGUUACGUGCUCAGUGUGGCCGUACCUUUAGACACAUUUAAGAUUGGUCGCACUUCAAAGAAACAUUCCUUGUAGAGAUUUUGUUGGAGUCCGAAGAGGUCUGGAACAGUUCUUCCAGAAGACUCAACACAGAGGUUUCUGGCAGGCUUGUCUCAAGGUUCUGAGUGAAUGGGUUCUUGCCCUAGAGUUGAGAAGCUGAUCCUCUUCUGUAAGUGAUGGACUGUAUUUCUUGAUCUUGUCCACCAGCCUUGACAGGUGGGAUGUAACCUGGAAAUAUAGAAACAAUCCUACAUAAAUUUAGUUAUUUUCAUCUAUUUGCCAUUAUACUCACAAUUACAAAUGUGGCUGUGUUUGUCCUAACUGGUGUUUGUUUUGAAGUCACUCUUCCCCCGAAGGAAGGAAUGCAGCUCCUUAAAUAUGUCUGUGGUUCCCUAUGACCAUGGGCGUCAGUUUGGUUUGAAAUGUGCUGGGGACAGAGACGCAUUCGGAGGUGCAUUUUCAGAAGUGCUGGGUACAAUGAGGAUGCACUCUUUUUUCUCUCUUUAGUGCCGAAAUGAAAGGUUCUGAAAGACGGCAUACCCAUGUAGCUGAUUACUAAGGAAUAAAAUGUAUACAAAAUCUGUCUGGCACGUUUUAUUUAGUAAACGCAUAUCGGAUAUAUGACCCACUAUGUUGUGCUCCAUGUAUCCAAUGUUGACAACGUGACAUGAUAUGGCUAAGCUAACAACAUAAACAAGAGGAGCUAGGAAAGGGAUUUAACUGCGUGUUUAAGUUCAGAAGGGCCAAACGUCA
Molecule: long non-coding RNA, 1317 nt
Organism: Gadus morhua (Atlantic cod)
Lineage: Eukaryota; Metazoa; Chordata; Actinopteri; Gadiformes; Gadidae
Exons: 4
Source: RefSeq, a predicted model, not a curated record